GCGGACGGGUGAGUAACACGUGGAUAACCUACCUAUAAGGCUGGGAUAACUUCGGGAAACCGGAGCUAAUACCGGAUAAUAUAUUGAACCGCAUGGUUCAAUAGUGAAAGACGGUUUUGCUGUCACUUAUAGAUGGAUCCGCGCCGCAUUAGCUAGUUGGUAAGGUAACGGCUUACCAAGGCAACGAUGCGUAGCCGACCUGAGAGGGUGAUCGGCCACACUGGAACUGAGACACGGUCCAG
This 242-nucleotide ribosomal RNA is filed under the name uncultured Staphylococcus sp. RNAcentral's name for it is "partial 16S ribosomal RNA". It matches the Rfam family "Bacterial small subunit ribosomal RNA", at positions 98 to 334 of the family's 1533-position model. Lineage: Bacteria; Bacillati; Bacillota; Bacilli; Caryophanales; Staphylococcaceae. The record is from RNAcentral.